GACGAACGCUGGCGGCGUGCCUAACACAUGCAAGUGGAGCGACGAACCAGGCUUCGGCCUGGGGCAAAGCCGCGAACGGGUGAGUAACACGUGGGUAACCUGCCCUGAUGAUUGGGACAACCCGAGGAAACUCGGGCUAAUACCAAAUGUGCCCUUCGGCCACAAGGCCGCUGGGGAAAGGAAGCUUCGGCCUCCGCAUCUGGAUGGGCCCGCGGCCCAUUAGCUUGUUGGUGGGGUAACGGCUCACCAAGGCGACGAUGGGUAGCUGGUCUGAGAGGACGAUCAGCCACACUGGGACUGAGACACGGCCCAGACUCCUACGGGAGGCAGCAGUGGGGAAUCUUGCGCAAUGCGCGAAAGCGUGACGCAGCAACGCCGCGUGGGGGAAGACGGCCUCGG
This 399-nucleotide ribosomal RNA is filed under the name uncultured bacterium. RNAcentral's name for it is "bacterial SSU rRNA". It matches the Rfam family "Bacterial small subunit ribosomal RNA", at positions 28 to 420 of the family's 1533-position model. The record is from RNAcentral.